AAUCAACGCUGGCGGCGCGCUUAACACAUGCAAGUCGAGCGAGAAAGGGGGAGCAAUCCCUGAGUACAGCGGCGUACGGGUGAGUAACACGUGGGUAAUCUGCCUUUUAGUGGGGAAUAACCCUGGGAAACCGGGGCUAAUACCGCAUAAUCCUGUGAAGGGAAAGCAGCAAUGCGCUGAAAGAGGAGCCCGCGGCCGAUUAGCUAGUUGGUGAGGUAACGGCUCACCAAGGCGGNGAUCGGUAGCCGGCCUGAGAGGGCACACGGCCACACUGGCACUGAAACACGGGCCAGACUCCUACGGGAGGCAGCAGUGGGGAAUCUUGCACAAUGGAGGCAACUCUGAUGCAGCGACGCCGCGUGAGCGA
This 367-nucleotide ribosomal RNA is filed under the name uncultured bacterium. Its description in RNAcentral is "bacterial SSU rRNA". It matches the Rfam family "Bacterial small subunit ribosomal RNA", at positions 29 to 408 of the family's 1533-position model. The record is from RNAcentral.